Unclassified non-coding RNA from Macaca fascicularis (crab-eating macaque), 148 nucleotides. It matches the Rfam family "Metazoan signal recognition particle RNA". Rfam says of the family: The signal recognition particle (SRP) is a universally conserved ribonucleoprotein. It is involved in the co-translational targeting of proteins to membranes. The eukaryotic SRP consists of a 300-nucleotide 7S RNA and six proteins: SRPs 72, 68, 54, 19, 14, and 9. NCBI's taxonomy places the organism in Eukaryota, Metazoa, Chordata, Mammalia, Primates, Cercopithecidae. The record is from Ensembl.
GCCGGGCAUGGUGGCGGAGGCCUGUCAUCCAAGCUACUCUGGAGGCUGAGGCAGGAGACUUGCUUGAACCCGGGAGGUGUAGGAUGCAGUGAGUCGAGGUCGCACCACUGCACUCCAGCCUGGGUGACAGAGUGAGACUCUGUCUCAA